CCAGGGCCAGGGCCCAAGCAGGGAGUGGCAUGGGGCCACGUGUGUGUUGCUCAUUCUGUUGUUUCCAGUGAAGCAAAGCAUCUAAGGUGGGUGUUAACAGCAGACAAGUGAUGGUUUGUGCAUUGAGGGGUCACUCGUGCCACCUCUAUCUCAAGCCACAUCCCUCAGGAGGGUCAAAAGAGGAGGUCAGUGUCUUUUGCUUCCAGUUUGUGUCCUUCUAAUCCCUCAGUGAGGAGUCUGGAAAGUUAAGCAACCUUUCCAAGCUCACAAGCCCAUGAAUGCAGAGCCCCAGGUCUGUCUGCCCCAGCAUCCUGUGAUGGUCGCCAAGGAGCUACCCAGUCCUGGUGCAUCUGCUUGCCACCCAGGAGAAAUCCAACCAGAGGAGUGAAAAAGAAGAAGCGCAAACAGAAGUGCCAAUACCCUCCACACACACCAACUAAAGAGGCUGCCUAGCCUAGGGUCUGCACCCAACGCCUGGUUUCCAUGCCAACAAGGCAGGUAAUGGGUGACUAAGAUUUGCAAGGUAAGAACUCGCGCAGAGGUAAUGCCAGGUGACUGUUUCAAGGAGCUAUCUAUCUUUGGCACUGUGGGGGUGGCUCUUUAAAUACACCCCAGGCAGCUCUCGCCCCAGCCCAGGGCCCUUGACGUAAGAGGAAUUCCAUCUGAGAUUACAGCGUGGCGCUGUUGUCACUCUGUGAGCAAUAUUCCAAUCUGUCCUGGAAAUCUGUGAAAUGGUCAGCAAAGAGACUGGCACGGAUCCUGAGCCAUCUUUGGAAAAUCUGUUUCAGGUCGUCCCCCUUCCCCUGCGAGGUUUCAAGGUCCUGAAAAGUCAGACCCGGGGGUCUCGCCGGCCCAGGAUUGAGGCUGCGCAUAGGAGUGUCCCAAACAGCGGCGAGGAUGGCAGGGCUCUGGCGGCCACAGAUCCUGGGCUCAGGCUCCGCGCAGGGGUCUGCACCCUCGGAGCCUCCCCCCACCCUCGCCCCUGCCCGAGCAGCCCCACCGCGGUACAGGGGCGCGGGUGCGAGUACUCACCGCACGCUCCGCCCCACCAUGUCCCACCA
This is a long non-coding RNA of Oryctolagus cuniculus (rabbit), 1061 nucleotides long. RefSeq lists it as uncharacterized. NCBI's taxonomy places the organism in Eukaryota, Metazoa, Chordata, Mammalia, Lagomorpha, Leporidae. The record is from RefSeq and is a predicted model, not a curated record.